AACGUAGGAGACAAACGUUAUCCGGAGUUACUGGGCGUAAAGGGCGUGUAGGCGGGAAGGAAAGUCAGAUGUGAAAUCCCUGGGCUCAACCCAGGAACUGCAUUUGAAACUCCCUUUCUUGAGUGUCGGAGAGGAAAGUGGAAUUCCUGGUGUAGAGGUGAAAUUCGUAGAUAUCAGGAGGAACACCGGUGGCGAAGGCGGCUUUCUGGACGACAACUGACGCUGAGACGCGAAAGCGUGGGGAGCAAACAGG
Molecule: ribosomal RNA, 253 nt
Filed under: uncultured bacterium
Lineage: Bacteria
Description: partial 16S ribosomal RNA
Rfam family: Bacterial small subunit ribosomal RNA
Source: RNAcentral